This 500-nucleotide ribosomal RNA is filed under the name uncultured bacterium. Its description in RNAcentral is "partial 16S ribosomal RNA". It matches the Rfam family "Bacterial small subunit ribosomal RNA", at positions 30 to 523 of the family's 1533-position model. The record is from RNAcentral.
AUUGAACGCUGGCGGAAUGCUUUACACAUGCAAGUCGAACGGCAGCACGGACUUCGGCCUGGUGGCGAGUGGCGAACGGGUGAGUAAUGUAUCGGAACGUGCCCAGUCGUGGGGGAUAACGUAGUGAAAAUUACGCUAAUACCGCAUACGAUCUAUGGAUGAAAGCGGGGGAUCGCAAGACCUCGCGCGAUUGGAGCGGCCGAUAUCAGAUGAGGUAGUUGGUGGGGUAAAGGCCCACCAAGCCAACGAUCUGUAGCUGGUCUGAGAGGACGACCAUCACUGCGAGAACUGAGACACGGUCCAGACUCCUACGGGAGGCAGCAGUGGGGAAUUUUGGACAAGGGGGGAAGGCCUGAUCCAGCCAUUCCGCGUGAAGGAUGAAGGCCCUCGGGUUGUAAACUGCUUUUGUACAGAACGAAAAGGUUUCUACUAAUACUAGGAGCUCAUGACGGUACUGUAAGAAUAAGCACCGGCUAACUACGUGCCAGCCGCCGCCGUAA